Molecule: long non-coding RNA, 603 nt
Filed under: Homo sapiens (human)
Lineage: Eukaryota; Metazoa; Chordata; Mammalia; Primates; Hominidae
Description: HSALNT0093209
Source: RNAcentral
CGUGGCCAUACCACCUGUAGGGGAUUUUCUUACGAAAUCUAAGCUGUGGGAAAUGGGAAAUUGCGUAAAAAUCUGGGUUGGGUGAUUUAAAAAAAAAGCAGGGGCUGGGCAUAGGCAGUAAUAUAAGGCAAGAUGGCUAAGGAAGAAGGUGGGCAGCGGAGCCGGUGAAGGAAGCCGCAGGCGCGGAUGGAGGCGAAGAGAUCAGGAGCAGUAAAGGAACACUCUCUUCCCCAGUCAGCUGGGAUACGGAUUUUGUAAGGCCUAGGGACUUUGUCUUUGGAGGUCCUGUCUCCAUAAGAAAUUAGAAGAUUUUUGUGGAGCUCCCCUUUUCUGCAAAGGAUCGUGGGUCCUAGGCACUAUCGUACUGCAUCUAAUGGAGAAGUCACCCUUGUCCCCAAAAGAAUGGCAUCUUGUUUGUUUCCUCCUAUAAAUAAAUUUAUCCCUGAUUUCCAAGAACUCAUAACCUAGAUCAUCUCUGAUUUCACAUUUCCUGCUGCUCUUAUAGCUGCCCCCUGCUCAGGAAGAUAAAUAAAUAAAUAAAUAAGACAUAGGACAAUUUCUAAAUCAGAGUUUAAUGGUCUUUGAAUCUUAAAGGAUUUAUCA